GGUUAUGGCUCAGUGGUAGAGCACUUGCCUAGCAUGUGUGAGGCCCUGGGUUUGAGUCUCUGUACCA
RNAcentral lists this transfer RNA (67 nucleotides) under Marmota monax (woodchuck). RNAcentral's name for it is "tRNA.Ala". The record is from RNAcentral. Lineage: Eukaryota; Metazoa; Chordata; Mammalia; Rodentia; Sciuridae.